Molecule: ribosomal RNA, 253 nt
Filed under: uncultured bacterium
Lineage: Bacteria
Description: partial 16S ribosomal RNA
Rfam family: Bacterial small subunit ribosomal RNA
Source: RNAcentral
UACGAAGGGGGCUAGCGUUGUUCGGAAUUACUGGGCGUAAAGCGCGCGCAGGCGGCUAUCCAAGUCAGUGGUGAAAGCCCGGAGCUCAACUCCGGAACUGCCAUUGAAACUGUUUAGCUUGAGGAUGAGAGAGGUGAGUGGAAUUCCCAGUGUAGAGGUGAAAUGCGCAGAUAUCAGGAAGAACACCCGUGGCGAAAGCGGCUCUCUGGAACGGUACUGACGCUGAGACGCGAAAGCGUGGGGAGCGAACAGG